This 497-nucleotide ribosomal RNA is filed under the name uncultured bacterium. RNAcentral's name for it is "partial 16S ribosomal RNA". It matches the Rfam family "Bacterial small subunit ribosomal RNA", at positions 28 to 507 of the family's 1533-position model. The record is from RNAcentral.
GAUGAACGCUGGCGGCGUGCCUAAUACAUGCCAGUCGAGCGAACAGAUGAGGAGCUUGUUCCUCUGACGUUUGCGGCGGACGGGUGUGUAACAUGUGGAUAACCUACCUAUAAGACUGGGAUAACUUCGGGAAACCGGAGCUUAUACCGGAUAAUAUAUUGAACCGCAUGGUUCAAUAGUGAAAGACGGUUUUGCUGUCACUUAUAGAUGGAUCUGCGCCGCAUUAGCUAGUUGGGAAGGUAACGGCUUACCACGGCGACGAUGCGUAGCCGACCUGAGAGGGUGAUCGGCCACACUGGAGCUGAGACACGGUCCAGACUCCUACGGUAGGCAGCAGUAGGGAAUCUGCCGCAAUAGGCGGAAGCCUGACAGAGCAGCGCCGAGUGAGUGAUGAAGGUCUUCGGAUCGUAAAACUCUGUUAUUAGGGAAAAACAAAUGUGUAAGUAACUAUACACGUCUUGACGGUACCUAAUCAGAAAGCCACGGCUAACUACGUG